This 1797-nucleotide long non-coding RNA is filed under the name Triticum aestivum (bread wheat). RNAcentral describes it as "long non-coding RNA (TAES_LNC024644)". The record is from RNAcentral. Lineage: Eukaryota; Viridiplantae; Streptophyta; Magnoliopsida; Poales; Poaceae.
GCGACGGAGAGGCUCGGCAUCCUGCACCACGAGAGCAGAUUGGGUUUUCCUAUGCUCGAUUCCAUUGCUGGACCGCUGGAGUGGGUACUGGGUGAGUUGGAGUUCGAUUUCGUUAUGGAUGUGCGGCCCGUGGUAACAAUUAGGGAGAGGUAUUUAAUCUGUCGGCUAGGAUCUGCAUUGGGAUUUUGAGAAUUAAGUGUGACCAAGCGGUGUAUAGUUGUCAAUCAAUUCCGUGAUUUGAAGUUUGCCCUUAAUUAGAAACCUGAAACUCAAGAACGUGGGUUUAUGUAUUUUAUCAGCCUAAAUGAAAUAAAUCAGUUACUUUGCACAACCAAGUCGAUAUUGUGUUUAAUUAGUAAUUAGUGAAAAAAUAUUGCAUAUAUAAUUAAGAAGUUACAUGAGCAGGUUCCAUUGUCAAGAUGAGGGCAUUGGCAUACAAACGCAUUGCUCUGAAUAUUCUGUUCCUUACAAGCUCGUAUGUAUUACAUGCACCAGGAGGGAAGGAACACCGUCUGCGGAGUUACUUAUGACAGUACUUUUUUGGGUCAUUCAAUCAGUGGACUCUGGUAUAACUCCUGACAAAUUCUUGAAAUCUUUAGUCAUGAGUAUCAUUUAUCUUUUACACUCUUGUUUUCCUCACUUAUGUCUGUCCAGGAGUAUAGUCGAUCAAUUUGCUUGCUUACAUAUCUUUACGUAGGAAUUUCUGUGUUGCUGGCAUUUACAACUUCAUGCUAUGGGGUGGGGAUACAAGUGUGAAAACUUGGAGAUCAAUAAAGGGACAAGUUGUUUAGCAUUUAUCUACCCUCUCGGCAGUGAUUGCAUAACAUGGCCGGCAGGUUCUUCGCCAGCUCUAACUCCCUGGUCUGACUAGAGAUGUAUAUGUGCUUGGCACUUGACCCAGCUGACACAUAUGCCUGUGUAGAUCAUUGGUGUCUGCGCCAUCUGCUGGUGGAUGGCACAAGAGGUGUUCAAGCGAGUGAAUGACAUGUACGCCGUGGCGGCACAACCCUGUUUCGGGGAGAAAAGGACUGAGGCCCUAUAGGUAACAACACAUCAUUCAGCCACGCGAAACAAACUUGUUAAGUACCUCAUUGUUAUACUGCACACACUUCUCGUAAUACUUAGCCAAAACUAUAAAUAGCUGCGGGAUAAAUUGUUCUUGUACAAACAAGGGGGUGGCUUUUCGAUACACUUUGGAGAAGACCCUGCUGUUAAAGAAGAUUAUGAUGGUACAGAGCACUCCGGAAACUAGAUACCAGACACCAACAUGAUUUGAUUGUCCAGUAUAUUUGAUGCUGCAAAAUCUGGAAGCUGCAAAUGUAAUGCUGAACAUCUCAUUUCAAAGUAUUAUGUAAUGAUGUUUUUUUCUCUUUUAACUUUUUCUUUAUAUCUUAAUAAAUGUCGCGGUUAUUAAUUUAACUUUGGGAUAAGAAUACGAUUUUCUGUCUCAUUUGGUACAUAGAAGCUUGAGCCUUUUCCCUUUUGUGUUCUCAUCCAUUAUUAUCUUGCAUAAAUAUAUGAUCGUUGUUUUUCUCUUGCUAAGCUAUUUUGUACAAAUUCAUGCUUUAACCAGUAACCACUACUAUUCUUCUCAUGCAGAUACGCGGUGAAAUAAAUUAUAUUCCAUGGCCAUUGAAUUCGAUAAUUAUACUGGUUUCUUUUUUUGACUCAAACAUGUAGGGUUUUCUGAAAGCAUUAGUUUUUUGACUGUUAGAAAGUAUAUAUGAAGGAAUAUUUCUGGGUAGUUCAAUGUCUUUUGAUUGUAAGACUAAACUAUAUACCAUCUACAUAUCUUUA